GGUUACUGCUAUCGGUGUUCGCUAAGCCAUGCGAGUCAUAUGUUCGUAAGAACAUGGCGUACUGCUCAGUAACACGUGGAUAACCUGCCCUUGGGUCCGGCAUAACCCCGGGAAACUGGGGAUAAUUCCGGAUAACGCACAUAUGCUGGAAUGCUUUUUGCGUAAAAUGGAUUCGUCUGCCCAAGGAUGGGUCUGCGGCCUAUCAGGUAGUAGUGGGUGUAAUGUACCUACUAGCCUACGACGGGUACGGGUUGUGAGAGCAAGAGCCCGGAGAUGGAUUCUGAGACAUGAAUCCAGGCCCUACGGGGCGCAGCAGGCGCGAAAACUUUACAAUGCGGGAAACCGUGAUAAGGGGACACCGAGUGCCAGCAUCCUAUGCUGGCUGUCCGGGUGUGUAAAAUACACCUGUUAGCAAGGGCCGGGCAAGACCGGUGCCAGCCGCCGCGGUAACACCGGCGGCCCGAGUGGUGAUCGUGAUUAUUGGGUCUAAAGGGUCCGUAGCCGGUUUGGUCAGUCCUCCGGGAAAUCUGACAGCUCAACUGUUAGGCUAUCGGAGGAUACUGCCAGACUUGGAACCGGGAGAGGUAAGAGGUACUACAGGGGUAGGAGUGAAAUCUUGUAAUCCCUGUGGGACCACCUGUGGCGAAGGCGUCUUACC
Molecule: ribosomal RNA, 658 nt
Filed under: uncultured archaeon
Lineage: Archaea
Description: bacterial SSU rRNA
Rfam family: Archaeal small subunit ribosomal RNA
Source: RNAcentral